CACCGGUCGUACAAUAUAG
This 19-nucleotide small RNA is filed under the name Arabidopsis thaliana (thale cress). Its description in RNAcentral is "ATSL108660". Lineage: Eukaryota; Viridiplantae; Streptophyta; Magnoliopsida; Brassicales; Brassicaceae. The record is from RNAcentral.